This 1119-nucleotide ribosomal RNA is filed under the name Triticum aestivum (bread wheat). RNAcentral describes it as "partial small subunit ribosomal RNA". Lineage: Eukaryota; Viridiplantae; Streptophyta; Magnoliopsida; Poales; Poaceae. The record is from RNAcentral.
AUGAGCAGAGGUUCAGGUUGGAAAGCCACAAUGUGGAAUAUGAAGGUCUCUGAGGGAAAUUGGUGCGAGCGCUACACGGUUGAUGUUGCCAAAAUCUCGGUUGACAAAAGCUUUUCUGCUAAAUUGCCUCAGAUGUGGGAUGAUGAGACUCAACAACAGCAGUUGAAGAACCUGAUGUUCCAAGGCCCAAUUCUGAGCAUGCUCAAUGACGAUUUGCUUUACAUGAUGGCCAAGGUGAAUGAUGAAGACGACACAGCCUGGGCUAUCACUAUUGACAUGAAACAUGCAGCUCUCAAGGCACUGGCAAAGUUUUCUGUCAAACCGAACCAACAACUCCUCACUACACUCUGCUUCUCAUGCGUCCUCCCCAAGUACCUCAACAUUCCCCCAGGGACAGAAAUGUAUGAUCCCAUGGAAAUGCACUUUAAGAGGAUGAGUUUGGCGCAGUUUGUUAUGCAAGUGCAGCAGACUCGAGAAUGGUUCAGGGAACUUGAUCUAUUCAUAGAUUGUGACUUGCCAACUUAUAAGGAAUCCAAACCACUGCUUACCGAGUGUUGCCCAGUAUCCUCUUUGUGUGUACAUAUUCAUGCGCUACUGAAAUAUGCUACAUGCACCGAUGAAGCCUCCAAUAAUAUGCAACAUCUCUUACGAGCAUUUGAGGGUUUUGACAUGCUGCUAACGGAGUCAUUUAAUGAGCAAGCAAGUGAUGAGACCCUGAGGAGAAAAAUCAUUGUGGCCCUUCCAAUUUUAGACAAUCUUUUGCAAAGUAUGCUACCAACAAUGACUCCUGAAGAAAGAUACAGAGUAGGAAUAUUUGAACAGUAUGAGAAGUCAGGCUAUACGAAGAAGGACCACCAGUCGUUUGGCUCUAAUGCUGAGAAGGUUCGCCACAGCAAGAAGCGAAGCCAUGCUAAGAAAAGGACUCACAAGCAACAGCAACAUAUUUUCAAGCGCAAUAACUUUGGGCGGGAUGUGGCUUUGAACCGCUGGCGGUACUUGGGCGGCUGCAUGCUGAUGUCUGUUGGUAUGUUGUCACUUUGCUGGAUGGUAUGGAAGAUCUUGCGGGAAAUGAUCUUGCAGGAGAUGCUAGCUUGGGGCUAUUACAAUGAUCAUAUAUAA